Molecule: non-coding RNA, 70 nt
Filed under: Schistosoma mansoni
Lineage: Eukaryota; Metazoa; Platyhelminthes; Trematoda; Strigeidida; Schistosomatidae
Source: RNAcentral
CGAUUAACUCCGCCUGUAGCUAUUCUAGAGUUACUGUCGGUCCCAAGCCCGGGUAAAAGAGGAGGGUUGG